This 138-nucleotide ribosomal RNA is filed under the name Jaculus jaculus (lesser Egyptian jerboa). Lineage: Eukaryota; Metazoa; Chordata; Mammalia; Rodentia; Dipodidae. The record is from RNAcentral.
GUACAAUAUCAUACCACCCUGUAUGCACCGGAUUUCCUGUGAUCCAGGAAGCUAAGCAAGGUCCAGCCUAGUUAGUACUCAGACAGAAGAACCCCCUGGUCCAGGAAGAGGCAGAACUAGAGCAAGUCAUGAGGUAUU